This 433-nucleotide ribosomal RNA is filed under the name uncultured bacterium. RNAcentral's name for it is "partial 16S ribosomal RNA". It matches the Rfam family "Bacterial small subunit ribosomal RNA", at positions 29 to 507 of the family's 1533-position model. The record is from RNAcentral.
AACGAACGCUGGCGGCAUGCCUAACACAUGCAAGUCGAACGAGACCUUCGGGUCUAGUGGCGCACGGGUGCGUAACGCGUGGGAACCUUCCCUUAUGUUCGGAAUAACUCCCCGACAGGGGUGCUAAUACCGGAUAAUGUCUUCGGACCAAAGAUUUAUCGCCUUGGGAUGGGCCCGCGUUGGAUUAGCUCGUGGGUAGGGUAAAAGCCUACCAAGGCGACGAUCCAUAGCUGGUCUGAGAGGAUGAUCAGCCACACUGGGACUGAGACACGGCCCAGACUCCUACGGGAGGCAGCAGUGGGGAAUAGUGGACAAUGGGCGAAAGCAUGAUCCAGCAAUGCCGCGUGAGUGAUGAAGGCCUUAGGGUUGUAAAGCUCUUUUACCCGGGAUGAUAAUGACAGUACCGGGAGAAUAAGCCCCGGCUAACUACGUG